This 369-nucleotide unclassified non-coding RNA is filed under the name Hevea brasiliensis (rubber tree). The record is from RNAcentral. Lineage: Eukaryota; Viridiplantae; Streptophyta; Magnoliopsida; Malpighiales; Euphorbiaceae.
UGAUUGUAUGAGGAAAAAAUGCUCAUUCAUCAAGGAUUUUGGUUCUGUGCAAACAAUAAGACUGGUGGUAAGUGAUGAGAUGGGAUUAGCAAUUAGUUUCCAUUUAAGAAAAGUUGGAAGUGGUGUUGAUUGAUUGCAAUGCACAAAGUUAGCUGAGAAAGUAUGGCCCUGUCUGCAAUACAAAUGAGUUAUACAUCAUUGCUGGAGUCAUAGUGCUGUAGUUCUUGUCUAGGUUGUAGUUCACAGAUUGGUAGUUAAGUUUGAUGCAAUUAUGGGAUUACUCACCUUAUAAUCAAAUCUACUAAGUACAAUUGAGCUAAAUUUUAGAGGUGAAACAUAUGUGAAUUAUUUGAGCUAGCAAAUUACAUG